AAUUAUUAUUAGAUUUUUAAAUAAUUAUUCACGAAAUAAAUUGAGCUAAAUUUUUGGUAUUUUUGGAAAUUAUAAUUAUAUGUUACAAAAUAUAUUAACUAAAUAGAUUUAGGGGUGAAAGGCCUAUCAAAUUUUAUGAUAUCUUGAAGUAUAUAAAAUAUAUCAAGUAUUUCUAAUUCAACUAUUGAAUGUUUAGGUUCAAUAGUAACAUUAUAUUUUUUAAAAAAUUGUUCAAUUUUUUUAAGUAAAAUUGAGUUAGAGCAUAAAAUAUACAUCAAAUUUUUAUUAUAUGAAUAUAAAUAUACUACGGUUAUUAAUAAAUAUAAUCAUAUAUAAUGUAAUUAUUAGUAAUAGUUUAUUAAACUAUAUAAAGGAAUUCGGCAAGAAAAUUUUUCACCUGUUUAUCAAAAACAUAGCUUAUUGAAUAUCAUAAUAAGUAACCCCUGCUCAAUGGAAAUCUAAAUAGCCGCAGUACCUUGACUGUGCAAAGGUAGCAUAAUCAAUUGGCUUAUAAUUGAAGUCUGGAAUGAAUGGGUAAUCUGGAAAAUAACUGUCUUUAUUUGUAGUAUUUUGAAUUUACUUAUAAAGUGAAAAUACUUUAAUAUAAAUAUAAGACGAGAAGACCCUAGAAAUUUUUUGUUAAUAACUUUUGUUGGGGCGACAGGGUAACAUAUAAACUUACUUACAUUUAUAUAAAUCUUAUAAGGUACGUAACUAAAUUACUCUAGGGAUAACAGCAUAAUAUAUAAAAGUUUAUGACCUCGAUGUUGGACUAGGUAAUUAAAUAUUUAAAAGAUAUCUUAAUUUGCUCUGUUCGAGCAGUACCACCUACAU
RNAcentral lists this ribosomal RNA (834 nucleotides) under Perforatella incarnata. Its description in RNAcentral is "Monachoides incarnatus partial large subunit ribosomal RNA". The record is from RNAcentral. Lineage: Eukaryota; Metazoa; Mollusca; Gastropoda; Stylommatophora; Hygromiidae.